Molecule: long non-coding RNA, 975 nt
Organism: Cavia porcellus (domestic guinea pig)
Lineage: Eukaryota; Metazoa; Chordata; Mammalia; Rodentia; Caviidae
Exons: 2
Source: RefSeq, a predicted model, not a curated record
AAUGCUGAAUGAAAGCUGGUCUGUGCUUUUAGGCUUAAGAGGUGGGUGGGAGUAUGCAGGGGUCAGAGGGAGUGGGGCUAUGGAACUCCAGCUGGGCAUAGAGAGGGCGAGAUCGCGAAUGAUCACUGGCAGAAGACAGUCGAAAGUGAAAUCAGCAGAAAAAAAACAAUGGAUUCUCAGAGAUUCUCACCGUAGAGGGUAAGGCAGGUUGUUCCUGAGAUCUUCCCAGCGCCAAAGGUAUUGAAGAGACACAUGUAACACCCUUCAUCCUCCAGUGUUGCAUUCCAGAAGGUGAUGGCUGACUUCUGCAAUCCCACCUCGGUGAUGUUCAUCCUAUCCAUAUAGGGAGGCUGGACCACAACCCCAUGUUUCUUACUGUAGGUGGCCAUGUUUUCUGGGCUUAUAUCCUUCUUUUUUUGCCAUGUCACAAUUAAGGCUUCUAAGGAAGAUUGCAAAGAACAUCUCAAGGAUGCAGGUGUGUUCAGCGGCUUGCUUUCAUCCUGGGUCACCACUUCCACAAUGGUACCAUAAAAGAACACAAUUAUUAAGGUUGAUACAUUAUGUCAACUUUAGAAGUCUAAAAUUCAACUAAGUAUCUCAGCAGUUCUACAUCCCAGGAUACAGAGGACCUGCCCUUUCCACUCUACGGUGUAGUUCAUCAUGUCAACUUGAGAAUGUAACUAAGUGACUCAAAAGACAGCCAAGGUCCUCACUUUGUAAACACUCUGAGCCUGUGUAAGAGGGCAUGGAGAUGGUGUGAGUGCCACACCUAUCCUAGAGGGUGUAGCCUGCUUACAAUAUAAGUGGAAAAGGGAUCUGGUCCCCCACCACCACCUCUUUUUGCUUUUGCUUCUUUUGUUGUCUUCUGUCAUCUUGAUAUGUUGCCCCUGUGCUGUGUCACCUUGCCUUGGAGACAGCUGAUUACAGACUAAAACCUCAACAAACCACGAGCUAAAUAAACCUUUCCUUCCUUAA